This 858-nucleotide small RNA is filed under the name Ralstonia solanacearum. Its description in RNAcentral is "bacterial SSU rRNA". The stretch from base 1 to 517 matches the Rfam family "Bacterial small subunit ribosomal RNA", at positions 1014 to 1533 of the family's 1533-position model. Lineage: Bacteria; Pseudomonadati; Pseudomonadota; Betaproteobacteria; Burkholderiales; Burkholderiaceae. The record is from RNAcentral.
CCGCCUUGUCGAGCUGGGAUAGCGACGCUGCUAUGAAAAAUAAGUCAGGCUCGUGUCGUGAGAUGUUGGGUUAAGUCCCGCAACGAGCGCAACCCUUGUCUCUAGUUGCUACGAAAGGGCACUCUAGAGAGACUGCCGGUGACAAACCGGAGGAAGGUGGGGAUGACGUCAAGUCCUCAUGGCCCUUAUGGGUAGGGCUUCACACGUCAUACAAUGGUGCAUACAGAGGAUUGCCAAGCCGCGAGGUGGAGCUAAUCCCAGAAAAUGCAUCGUAGUCCGGAUCGUAGUCUGCAACUCGACUACGUGAAGCUGGAAUCGCUAGUAAUCGCGGAUCAGCAUGCCGCGGUGAAUACGUUCCCGGGUCUUGUACACACCGCCCGUCACACCAUGGGAGUGGGCUUUACCAGAAGUAGUUAGCCUAACCGCAAGGAGGGCGAUUACCACGGUAGGGUUCAUGACUGGGGUGAAGUCGUAACAAGGUAGCCGUAUCGGAAGGUGCGGCUGGAUCACCUCCUUUAAGAGCGUGCAUCCUAGUUAGGCGUCCACACUUAUCGGUUUGUUUGAUGUUACAGCCAAGGGUCUGUAGCUCAGGUGGUUAGAGCACCGUCUUGAUAAGGCGGGGGUCGUAGGUUCAAGUCCUACCAGACCCACCAAGUUACGGACGGUGGAAGUCUCGCGCGGUCCUUGGGGGAACAACUUUCCCAAAUAACUUACCUCAUCACUUUUUAUUUUUUUUCCUCGCCCCUUCCCCCCCCUUUGGCGCCCCCUGCUCGUGUUGCCCUUUCGCGCUGUGUGCCUUGGGGUUUGUUUUGGGCUGCGGUUGCGGUCGGGCGCCUCUUGGGGGGGUCUGUUGCGGGG